GAUGAACGCUGGCGGCGUGCCUAACACAUGCAAGUCGAGCGAACAGACGAUGAGCUUGCUCCUCUGACGUUAGCGGCGGACGGGUGAGUAACACGUGUAUAACCUACCUAUAAGACUGGGAAAACUACGGGAAACCGGCUCUAACACCGGAUAAUAUAUUGAUCCGCGUGGGUCAAUAGAGAAAGACGGCUUUGCGGGCACUAAUAGGUGGUUCCGGGCCGGAUUAGCUAGUUGGUACGGUAACAGCUUACCAAGGCAAGGAUGCGUGACCGACCGGAGAGGGGGAUCGGCCACACGGGAACUGAGACGCGGUCAAGGCUCCUACGGGAGGCAGCAGUAGGGAAUCUUCCGCAAUGGGCGAGAGCCUGACGGAACGACGCCGCGUGAGUGAUGAAGAUCUUCGGAUCGUAAAACUCUGUUAUUAGGGAAGAACAAAUGUGUAAGUAGCUAUGCACGUCUUGACGGUACCUGGUCAGGAAGCCACGGCUAACUACGUG
RNAcentral lists this ribosomal RNA (497 nucleotides) under uncultured bacterium. RNAcentral's name for it is "partial 16S ribosomal RNA". It matches the Rfam family "Bacterial small subunit ribosomal RNA", at positions 28 to 507 of the family's 1533-position model. The record is from RNAcentral.